GUUUCACCAUGUUGGUCAAGCUGGUACUGAACUCCUGACUUCAAAUGAUCCACUCACCUCAGCCUCUCAAAGUGCUGGGAUUACAGGUGUAAGCCACUGUGCACAGCCUAAACUAUGAAUGAUUUUCUGAAAUGUUUAUGAAGACAUUUCAAAAUGCUCAAAAGGAAUCACCGAAGUGGUAAUAUGUCAGGGGAAAGCUUUACAAAAACCCACAGAGGUACGUGUACCAUAUGAGAAGAUGCUACAAGACCAGUCAGCUUUGAUAGUACAGGGGCUUCCAGAAGGUGUUGCCUUUAAACACCCUGAGAAUUAUGAUCUUGCAACCCUGAAAUGGAUUUUGGAGAACACAGCUGGGAUUUCAUUUAUUAUUAAGAGGGGUUGUGGAAAAGGAAAGUGGUAGAAAGUAAAUGACACAGUGACAGAAGAAUUUGACCUAAAUAACGAGAUGCUGGAGUGUGAAUGCUUCGGUGAAGAAUAUAGACCAAAAAUUUAUGAUCAAGCGGGGUCUGAUGAGAAUGCCGGGGAUCACCAAAGAAGACUCGAGUCAGCUUUGUACAGCAGGAAGCUGAGGACUUCUCUUUGUUAUCAGCUCUCCAAAUCAGAUGUGAGUGCUCAGAGCCAGGAGAGGAGAAGCGGAGGGAAGGAGGAGGCUGCCCCCAUCCCGAGUGCAGAAUUUUCUCCAGGAUAUUUAAAUGAAGAAAGCAGCAUUCUCCAGUGGUUGAAGGUGUUUGAGCAGAGGGAGGUGGUAAUGUCAGGACCUUGGAGGACACAGGUGUCACCUGAUCCUCAGGUCAGACACCAUACUGGUCAUUAUGGUAGGAGAUACACUUGGAGCUGUGCACAGAGAGGAUGCCAAAAGCAGAGGAAUGUGAUGGAGAAUAAUGCUGGAGCUCAAAGAGCCUGCGGUAGGGAGUUGUAUGUGUCCACUUGGCUAGGAUGUAGCACCCAGUUACUCAAUCCAACACUAAUCUAAGUGUUGCUCUGAAGGGAUUUUGUAGAUUGGGCUAACGUCUACUAUCAGUUGACUUCAGAUAAGGAGAUUAUCUUCAAUAAUCUGAAAAGGCCCCAUUUGAUCAGUUAAAAGGCCUAAAGAGUGGAAUUGAGGUUUCUCUGAGGAAGAAGAGAUUCUUCCCCAAGACUGCAGCAUCAUCAGCUCCUGCCUGAGCACUUGCACCCUGCUGACCUGCCCUGAAGAUUUCAGAAUUUGCCAACCCCACAAUUUCAUGAGCAGAUUCCUUAAAGGAAGUCUUUUUUUUUUCUUUUAUUAUUAUUAUUAUUAUUAUUAUUAUUAUUAUUAUACUUUAGGUUUUAUGGUACAUGUGCGCAAUGUGCAGGUAAGUUACAUAUGUAUACAUGUGCCAUGCUGGUGCGCUGCACCCACCAACUUGUC
This 1390-nucleotide long non-coding RNA is filed under the name Pongo abelii (Sumatran orangutan). RNAcentral describes it as "lncRNA (ENSPPYG00000040963.1)". Lineage: Eukaryota; Metazoa; Chordata; Mammalia; Primates; Hominidae. The record is from RNAcentral.